CCUACGGGAGGCAGCAGUGAGGAAUAUUGGUCAAUGGGCGAGAGCCUGAACCAGCCAAGCCGCGUGAGGGAAGACGGCCCUAUGGGUUGUAAACCUCUUUUGUCGGAGAACAAAACCCGGGACGUGUCCCGGCCUGCGUGUAUCCGAAGAAAAAGCAUCGGCUAACUCCGUGCCAGCAGCCGCGGUAAUACGGAGGAUGCGAGCGUUAUCCGGAUUUAUUGGGUUUAAAGGGUGCGUAGGCGGUCCGUUAAGUCAGCGGUAAAAUUGCGGGGCUCAACCCCGUCGAGCCGUUGAAACUGGCAGACUUGAGUUGGCGAGAAGUACGCGGAAUGCGCGGUGUAGCGGUGAAAUGCAUAGAUAUCGCGCAGAACUCCGAUUGCGAAGGCAGCGUACCGGCGCCAGACUGACGCUGAGGCACGAAAGCGUGGGGAUCGAACAGGAUUAGAUACCCGGGUAGUC
RNAcentral lists this ribosomal RNA (459 nucleotides) under uncultured bacterium. Its description in RNAcentral is "partial 16S ribosomal RNA". It matches the Rfam family "Bacterial small subunit ribosomal RNA", at positions 338 to 795 of the family's 1533-position model. The record is from RNAcentral.